Molecule: long non-coding RNA, 243 nt
Organism: Cataglyphis hispanica
Lineage: Eukaryota; Metazoa; Arthropoda; Insecta; Hymenoptera; Formicidae
Exons: 2
Source: RefSeq, a predicted model, not a curated record
AGCUUCCUUCCGUUUCGUAGAGCGAUGCGCGAAUCGUAGUCAGCGUCAAAAUCGUUAUUUGAUUAAUACGAGUGAGGAGAUUCCUUCAAAUUUUGAAAAUGAUAAAAUAUCUCACAUUUAAUGGCAGAUUUAACAAAGAGCGCAUUAUGACAUGCGGGGUCAACAAAAUAACGAUACGUAUCAUUUUCAUGUAAUGCAUUAUACAAAAUUUUCAAUAUAUUAUUAUUGUCCGUAAUUACAACA